RNAcentral lists this ribosomal RNA (485 nucleotides) under uncultured Escherichia sp. RNAcentral describes it as "bacterial SSU rRNA". It matches the Rfam family "Bacterial small subunit ribosomal RNA", at positions 127 to 608 of the family's 1533-position model. Lineage: Bacteria; Pseudomonadati; Pseudomonadota; Gammaproteobacteria; Enterobacterales; Enterobacteriaceae. The record is from RNAcentral.
UGCCUGAUGGAGGGGGAUAACUACUGGAAACGGUAGCUAAUACCGCAUAACGUCGCAAGACCAAAGAGGGGGACCUUCGGGCCUCUUGCCAUCGGAUGUGCCCAGAUGGGAUUAGCUAGUAGGUGGGGUAACGGCUCACCUAGGCGACGAUCCCUAGCUGGUCUGAGAGGAUGACCAGCCACACUGGAACUGAGACACGGUCCAGACUCCUACGGGAGGCAGCAGUGGGGAAUAUAUCCCAUGGGCGCAAGCCUGAUGCAGCCAUGCCGCGUGUAUGAAGAAGGCCUUCGGGUUGUAAAGUACUUUCAGCGGGGAGGAAGGGAGUAAAGUUAAUACCUUUGCUCAUUGACGUUACCCGCAGAAGAAGCACCGGCUAACUCCGUGCCAGCAGCCGCGGUAAUACGGAGGGUGCAAGCGUUAAUCGGAAUUACUGGGCGUAAAGCGCACGCAGGCGGAUUGUUAAGUCAGAUGUGAAAUCCCCCCGG